Long non-coding RNA from Rosa rugosa (rugosa rose), 1238 nucleotides. RefSeq lists it as uncharacterized. Lineage: Eukaryota; Viridiplantae; Streptophyta; Magnoliopsida; Rosales; Rosaceae. The transcript has 7 exons. The record is from RefSeq and is a predicted model, not a curated record.
CCUGCCAACUUAUGAUCGUUUCAAGGUUAUUAAAGAAAAUAUGGAGCGUCUGAUAAAGAACACUAAUAUGAAUCCUCUGAGUCAUGCUGAAUACUUGAAAAUGCAAGUUUUGUACCAGAGAUUCUACGAUGUAGAUGACCAGUUGCAUGUUUUAAAUGGAUUGUCUGUUUCUGAUGUGAAGUCAUUUAUUCCAGAGCUUUGGUCCCAGCUUUACAUUGAAGGCCUUGGUCAUGGAAAUCUGUUAGAAGAAGAAGCAAUUAGCCUUUUGAAUAUGGUGAAAACAAUUUUUUCUGGACAACCACUUCCUACCGAACUGAUGCUUAAGAACAAAUGUAUUUGUCUCGCUCCUGAUGCUAACCUCAUUAGAGAUGUCAGUGUGAAGUAGAAGACUGAAACAAACUCUGUGAUUCAGCUAUAUUUUCAAAUUGAGCGGGCAGUGGGGAUUGACUCCACCAGAUUGAGAGCAUUAAUAGAUCUUUUUGAUGAAAUUAUAGUCGAACCACUUUACGAUCAACUAAGGACGAAGGAGCAGCUGGGAUAUGUUGUUCAGUGUGACUGGGAGGUGAUAUUUGGUGUUUUUGGCUUUUAUUUCAUAGUUCAGUCGUUGGAGUACAACCCAAUCUACUUGCAGCGGAGAGUUGACAACUUUAUCAAUGGUCUGGAAGACAUUUUGCAAGGACUGGAUGAUGUUUCCUUUGAGAAUUACAGAGGUGGGCUAAUGGCAAAGCUAUUGGUGAAAAAUUCAUCCCUUAUACAUGAAACGAUUAGAUUUUGGAAUCAGAUUAUUCAUAAAAGGUAUACAUUUGACUAUGCAAAGAGGGUGGCAGAAGAGCUCAGCAGUCUACAGAAGGACGAUGUUGUCAACUUUUACAAGACCUACUUGCAACAAUCAUCUCCCAAGCGUCGGAGACUUGGCAUUCGUGUUUGGGGUUGCAACACUGACUUGAAAGAAGCUGAAGAAUCGCGACCGGAGUCUGUGCAGGUCAUUGAAGACCUUGAAGCCUUUAAGAUGUCAUCUGAGUUCUAUCCUCACGGUUGUUGAACCAUUAAUAGAAGCAAUGAAGUUAUGAAGGCCUAAGUUCAAAUCCUUUCUCCUAGAUUCCUUCUGUGGGGUAUUAAUAUUGGUGUUACUCAGCUAAUUAAGGCUCAGCCAUGUGUGGUGUUGGUGUAGUUCUUUCCCCAGUUAAAGAGCAGAUUAGUAUGAUAUAUACAGGAGGGCUGUAAUGAAAAAUCCAAAA